GAGGUACUCCCUCCGCCCGGAAAUACUUGUCGUAGAAAUGGAUACAAAUGGAUGUAUCUAGAACUAAAAUACAUCUAGAUACAUCCAUUCCUCUGACAAGUAUUUCCGGAUGGAGGAGGUAAUAU
Non-coding RNA from Triticum aestivum (bread wheat), 125 nucleotides. NCBI's taxonomy places the organism in Eukaryota, Viridiplantae, Streptophyta, Magnoliopsida, Poales, Poaceae. The record is from Rfam.